UACGUAGGGGGCAAGCGUUGUCCGGAGUUACUGGGCGUAAAGCGCACGCAGGCGGUCUCUUAAGUUUGGAGUGACAGUUGGUGGCUUAACUGCCAAAGUGCUUCGAAAACUGAGAGACUUGAGGGCUUCAGAGGGACACGGAAUUCCGGGUGGAGUGGUGAAAUGCGUAGAGAUCGUAAGGAAGACCAGUGGCGAAGGCGAGUUUCUGGACGGUAACUGACGCUGAGGCACGAAGGCCAGGGGAGCAAACGGG
RNAcentral lists this ribosomal RNA (253 nucleotides) under uncultured bacterium. RNAcentral describes it as "partial 16S ribosomal RNA". It matches the Rfam family "Bacterial small subunit ribosomal RNA", at positions 524 to 776 of the family's 1533-position model. The record is from RNAcentral.